AUCGCUAUGGUUAGGAGAUUUGAUCCUGGCUCAGUAUCUGAACGCUAGGCGGAGCAGAGCCUAACACAUGCAAGUCGAGCGGAUGAGUGGAGCUUGCUCCCUGAUUCAGCGGCGGACGGGUGAGUAAUGCCUAGGAAUCUGCCUGGUAGUGGGGGAUAACGUUUCGAAAGGAACGCUAAUACCGCAUACGUCCUACGGGAGAAAGUGGGGGAUCUUCGGACCUCACGCUAUCAGAUGAGCCUAGGUCGGAUUAGCUAGUUGGUGGGGUAAUGGCCCACCAAGGCGACGAUCCGUAACUGGUCUGAGAGGAUGAUCAGUCACACUGGAACUGAGACACGGUCCAGACUCCUACGGGAGGCAGCAGUGGGGAAUAUUGGACAAUGGGCGAAAGCCUGAUCCAGCCAUGCCGCGUGUGUGAAGAAGGUCUUCGGAUUGUAAAGCACUUUAAGUUGGGAGGAAGGGCAGUAAGUUAAUACCUUGCUGUUUUGACGUUACCAACAGAAUAAGCACCGGCUAACUUCGUGCCAGCAGCCGCGGUAAUACGAAGGGUGCAAGCGUUAAUCGGAAUUACUGGGCGUAAAGCGCGCGUAGGUGGUUCAGCAAGUUGGAUGUGAAAGCCCCGGGCUCAACCUGGGAUUGCAUCCAAAACUACUGAGCUAGAGUACGGUAGAGGGUGGUGGAUUUCCUGU
This 689-nucleotide ribosomal RNA is filed under the name uncultured bacterium. RNAcentral's name for it is "bacterial SSU rRNA". It matches the Rfam family "Bacterial small subunit ribosomal RNA", at positions 1 to 673 of the family's 1533-position model. The record is from RNAcentral.